RNAcentral lists this ribosomal RNA (302 nucleotides) under Escherichia coli. Its description in RNAcentral is "partial 16S ribosomal RNA". It matches the Rfam family "Bacterial small subunit ribosomal RNA", at positions 1 to 299 of the family's 1533-position model. Lineage: Bacteria; Pseudomonadati; Pseudomonadota; Gammaproteobacteria; Enterobacterales; Enterobacteriaceae. The record is from RNAcentral. RNAcentral also lists the same sequence under 1 other name.
AAAUUGAAGAGUUUGAUCAUGGCUCAGAUUGAACGCUGGCGGCAGGCCUAACACAUGCAAGUCGAACGGUAACAGGAAGCAGCUUGCUGCUUCGCUGACGAGUGGCGGACGGGUGAGUAAUGUCUGGGAAACUGCCUGAUGGAGGGGGAUAACUACUGGAAACGGUAGCUAAUACCGCAUAAUGUCGCAAGACCAAAGAGGGGGACCUUCGGGCCUCUUGCCAUCGGAUGUGCCCAGAUGGGAUUAGCUUGUUGGUGGGGUAACGGCUCACCAAGGCGACGAUCCCUAGCUGGUCUGAGAGG